UACGUAGGGUGCGAGCGUUGUCCGGAAUUAUUGGGCGUAAAGAGCUCGUAGGCGGUGUGUCGCGUCGGCCGUGAAAACCUGCAGCUUAACUGUGGGCUUGCGGUCGAUACGGGCAUCACUGGAGUUCGGCAGGGGAGACUGGAAUUCCUGGUGUAGCGGUGAAAUGCGCAGAUAUCAGGAGGAACACCAGUGGCGAAGGCGGCGACCUGGGCCAAUACUGACGCUGAGGUGACGAAAGCGUGGGGAGCGAACAGG
This 255-nucleotide ribosomal RNA is filed under the name uncultured bacterium. Its description in RNAcentral is "partial 16S ribosomal RNA". It matches the Rfam family "Bacterial small subunit ribosomal RNA", at positions 524 to 776 of the family's 1533-position model. The record is from RNAcentral.